GUGAACGCUGGCGGUAGGCCUAACACAUGCAAGUCGAACGGCAGCACAGUAAGAGCUUGCUCUUACGGGUGGCGAGUGGCGGACGGGUGAGGAAUACAUCGGAAUCUACUUUUUCUUGGGGGAUAACGUAGGGAAACUUCCGCUAAUACCGCAUACGACCUACGGGUGAAAGCAGUGGAUCUUCGGACCUUUCGCGAUUGAAUGAGCCGAUGUCGGAUUAGCUAGUUGGCGGGGUAAAGGCCCACCAAGGCGACGAUCCGUAGCUGGUCUGAGAGGAUGAUCAGCCACACUGGAACUGAGACACGGUCCAGACUCCUACGGGAGGCAGCAGUGGGGAAUAUUGGACAAAGGGCGCAAGCCUGAUCCAGCCAUACCGCGUGGGUGAAGAAGGCCUUCGGGUUGUAAAGCCCUUUUGUUGGGAAAGAAAAGCAGCAGGUUAAUACCCCGCUGUUCUGACGGUACCCAAAGAAUAAGCACCGGCUAACUUCGUG
RNAcentral lists this ribosomal RNA (491 nucleotides) under uncultured bacterium. RNAcentral describes it as "partial 16S ribosomal RNA". It matches the Rfam family "Bacterial small subunit ribosomal RNA", at positions 29 to 507 of the family's 1533-position model. The record is from RNAcentral.